Molecule: ribosomal RNA, 468 nt
Filed under: uncultured bacterium
Lineage: Bacteria
Description: partial 16S ribosomal RNA
Rfam family: Bacterial small subunit ribosomal RNA
Source: RNAcentral
GACGAACGCUGGCGGCGUGCUUAACACAUGCAAGUCGAACGGAAAGGCCCUGCUUUUGUGGGGUACUCGAGUGGCGAACGGGUGAGUAACACGUGAGUAACCUGCCCUUGACUUUGGGAUAACUUCAGGAAACUGGGGCUAAUACCGGAUAGGAGCUCCUGCUGCAUGGUGGGGGUUGGAAAGUUUCGGCGGUUGGGGAUGGACUCGCGGCUUAUCAGCUUGUUGGUGGGGUAGUGGCUUACCAAGGCUUUGACGGGUAGCCGGCCUGAGAGGGUGACCGGCCACAUUGGGACUGAGAUACGGCCCAGACUCCUACGGGAGGCAGCAGUGGGGAAUAUUGCACGAUGGGCGGAAGCCUGAUGCAGCAACGCCGCGUGCGGGAUGACGGCCUUCGGGUUGUAAACCGCUUUCGCCUGUGACGAAGCGUGAGUGACGGUAAUGGGUAAAGAAGCACCGGCUAACUACGUG